Molecule: long non-coding RNA, 345 nt
Organism: Oreochromis niloticus (Nile tilapia)
Lineage: Eukaryota; Metazoa; Chordata; Actinopteri; Cichliformes; Cichlidae
Exons: 2
Source: RefSeq, a predicted model, not a curated record
GCUCGUUAAUGUGCCUCGAGUGCUAGAGUCAAUCUCACAGAAUAAGAGUCAUCAUUUUAUCUGGCCAACCUGACUCACCAGCUUUCAUUAGAAAAUGCUAGAGGAAUGAACACGCUGUAAGCCUGGGGAGUGCGGUGAGCCGAAUCCGGAGAGGAGGAGGAGUGGAAAAGAAGGAGAGGAAGAACGACAGGAGAGGAGAAGCACAUCGGACACCACCUAUUUAUCACCCUGACUCCUUCCGUCCACUGCCAAGGAGAGGGAGAGGAGAGCGAGAGAGAGAGAUGAAGCAGAUGAAGACAGCAAAGCCAGAGCAACAAAAACACAAGAGAAGCUAAAAAAAAAAAA